RNAcentral lists this ribosomal RNA (492 nucleotides) under uncultured bacterium. RNAcentral describes it as "bacterial SSU rRNA". It matches the Rfam family "Bacterial small subunit ribosomal RNA", at positions 28 to 507 of the family's 1533-position model. The record is from RNAcentral.
GAUGAACGCUAGCUACAGGCUUAACACAUGCAAGUCGAGGGGAAACGACAUCGAAAGCUUGCUUUUGAUGGGCGUCGACCGGCGCACGGGUGAGUAACGCGUAUCCAACCUGCCCACCACUUGGGGAUAACCUUGCGAAAGUAAGACUAAUACCCAAUGAUAUCCCACGAAGGCAUCCGAAUGGGAUUAAAGAUUUAUCGGUGAUGGAUGGGGAUGCGUCUGAUUAGCUUGUUGGCGGGGUAACGGCCCACCAAGGCUACGAUCAGUAGGGGUUCUGAGAGGAAGGUCCCCCCACAUUGGAACUGAGACACGGUCCAAACUCCUACGGGAGGCAGCAGUGAGGAAUAUUGGUCAAUGGGCGAAGCCUGAACCAGCCAAGUAGCGUGCAGGACGACGGCCCUAUGGGUUGUAAACUGCUUUUAUGCGGGGAUAAAGUGGGCCACGCGUGGCCUUUUGCAGGUACCGCAUGAAUAAGGACCGGCUAAUUCCGUG